Molecule: ribosomal RNA, 440 nt
Filed under: uncultured bacterium
Lineage: Bacteria
Description: bacterial SSU rRNA
Rfam family: Bacterial small subunit ribosomal RNA
Source: RNAcentral
CCUACGGGCUGCAGCAGUGGGGAAUCUUGCGCAAUGGGCGAAAGCCUGACGCAGCCAUGCCGCGUGAAUGAUGAAGGUCUUAGGAUUGUAAAAUUCUUUUACCACGGACGAUAAUGACGGUACUUGGAGAAAAAGUCCCGGCUAACUUCGUGCCAGCAGCCGCGGUAAUACGAAGGGGGCUAGCGUUGCUCGGAAUUACUGGGCGUAAAGGGAGCGUAGGCGGGUUGACAAGUUGGAGGUGAAAGCCCAGGGCUUAACCCUGGAAUUGCCUUCAAAACUGUCAGCCUUGAGUAUGGAAGAGGUAAGUGGAACUCCGAGUGUAGAGGUGAAAUUCGUAGAUAUUCGGAAGAACACUAGUGGCGAAGGCGACUUACUGGUCCAUGACUGACGCUGAGGCUCGAAAGCGUGGGGAGCAAGCAGGAUUAGAUACCCUCGUAGUC